GAAAUGCGAUAAGUAAUGUGAAUUGCAGAAUUCAGUGAAUCAUCGAAUCUUUGAACGCACAUUGCGCCCGUCAGCAUUCUGGCGGGCAUGCCUGUUCGAGCGUCAUUUCAACCCUCAGGACCCCCCUUUCUCGGGGAGGGACCUGGCGUUGGGGAUCGGCCCGCCCCCCGCGGCGUCGCCGUCCCCGAAAUCUAGUGGCGGUCUCGCUGCAGCCUCCCCUGCGUAGUAGUUACAACCUCGCAUCGGAGCGCGGCGCGGCCACGCCGUAAAACCCCCGACUUUCUGGACGUUGACCUCGGAUCAGGUAGGAAUACCCGCUGAACUUAAGC
This 329-nucleotide unclassified non-coding RNA is filed under the name plant metagenome. RNAcentral describes it as "partial contains 5.8S ribosomal RNA, internal transcribed spacer 2, and large subunit ribosomal RNA". The stretch from base 1 to 105 matches the Rfam family "5.8S ribosomal RNA", at positions 50 to 154 of the family's 154-position model. The record is from RNAcentral.